CUUGCUCAGUGACUGUGGUGAGGACUGGAGAUUCCUUCCUCUUUCUCAGAGGCAACCAGCUUUGCCUCAGAGGAGGAAGGACCUGCGCGAGCUGAGAGCGGCUCCCUGCCCGUCUGCCACCAAAGGGAACUCUCUCAGCUGCCCUGCUCUUUCCCAGUCUCCAUCAUAAUUACUGGAUGGAGGCCCACGGAGAAGAGCUUUUGAGUGACAGCCGACUUUCCUAGAGAUUCUAAACUUUCACAGAGCCUUCACUCAGCCUUUAACAAUAUGUUAACAUUUUAGAUAUUUUCAGAUUACUCACUUUUAUUGUGGCUGCCUCUUCCUUCCAUGUUGUACCAAAGGAAAAAAACUCCAGGUAUCCUGUGUCCUCGGAGGGACUUUGGAUUCAAUGUGCCUGAUUGCCUGGGGAACUCAGCAUCCUGAAUAAGAUAAAUAAAAGAUUCCACAUAUAAGUGAGAUUAUACGGAUUUGUGUUUCUCUGUAUGACUUAUUUCACUUAGCAUAACGCCCUCAAGAUUCAUCCAUAUGGUCGCAAAGGGCAUGAGCACAGCGCGUUUAAAAACUACAUAUUUAAAAGGUACAUAGACAAAGGACUGAUCGCAUUCCUCUCCACGGUUUUUCCUUUUUUUUUCUAAUGCUGAUCUUCCUAUGCCUGUUUUUAAAGACUUGG
This 670-nucleotide long non-coding RNA is filed under the name Equus caballus (horse). RNAcentral describes it as "lncRNA (ENSECAG00000053345.1)". The record is from RNAcentral. Lineage: Eukaryota; Metazoa; Chordata; Mammalia; Perissodactyla; Equidae.